This 552-nucleotide ribosomal RNA is filed under the name uncultured Cytophaga sp. Its description in RNAcentral is "bacterial SSU rRNA". It matches the Rfam family "Bacterial small subunit ribosomal RNA", at positions 337 to 890 of the family's 1533-position model. Lineage: Bacteria; Pseudomonadati; Bacteroidota; Cytophagia; Cytophagales; Cytophagaceae. The record is from RNAcentral.
UCCUACGGGAGGCAGCAGUAGGGAAUAUUGGGCAAUGCCCGCAAGGGUGACCCAGCCAUGCCGCGUGCAGGAAGAAGGCCUUCUGGGUUGUAAACUGCUUUUGGAAGGGAACAAAACGGUCGUGCGCGACAAUUUGAGUGUACCUUCAGAAUAAGCACCGGCUAACUCCGUGCCAGCAGCCGCGGUAAUACGGAGGGUGCAAGCGUUGUCCGGAUUUAUUGGGUUUAAAGGGUGCGUAGGCGGCUUAUUAAGUCAGGGGUGAAAGACUAUUGCUUAACAAUGGCAGUGCCUUUGAUACUGAUAGGCUUGAGUACAUUUGAGGCAGAUGGAACGGGUGGUGUAGCGGUGAAAUGCAUAGAUACCAUCCAGAACACCGAUUGCGAAGUCAGUCUGCUAAACUGUAACUGACGGUGAGGCAAGAAAGCGUGGGGAUCGAACAGGAUUAGAUCCCCUGGUAGUCCACGCCGUAAACGAUGAUGACUCGAUGUUAGGGAUAUACUCUUAGCGUCCAAGCGAAAGCGUUAAGUCAUCCACCUGGGAGACCCGCCCGGU